UCUUGGAUUUAGAGUCUGGGCUCAGAGGCUCUUAGCUUUCACGAAAGAGAGAGCGAGAGAGGGAGAGACAGAGAGGGAGGAGGACAGAAUGGGACCGGGAGGGCCUGGCCCUGGACCAGGUGGACCAGGUGGCGGUUUCGGGCCAGGACCGGGUUGGGGGCCGGGACCAGGUGGACCAGGUGGCGGUUUCGGGCCGGGACCAGGUGGACCAGGUGGCGGUUUCGGGCCGGGACCGGGUUGGGGGCCAGGACCGGGUGGACCGGGUGGCGGUUUCGGACCAGGACCGGGUGGACCCGGUGGUGGUUUCGGACCAGGGUUUGGUGGACCGUGCGGCUGCUUAUCGUCCUGUUUGUACUCCUUGUGUUGCUGCUGGUUGCUACGGGAUUGUUGUGGCCCAUUUUUCGGUGGGCCUCCACGUUGACCGUGCCUGUCGAACCGUUGGAUGAGAUCAGAUGUAUGAUAAUUAUAGCAGAUGGACGUUUAUGCUUCUUCACAAUAAAGACCGCACAUUGUUUGCUUCAUAUCCUAUGCAUGUCUUGUAUAGACCUAUUUUAUUUCUUUGUAUGGAAAUUAUGGAUUUGGCAUAGAAGUGGAAUCAACCUGUCUAUGACAGCUAUGUCUUGGAGUUAGGUUGUAUUUUUUUUAUGAAAAAAAAAUGAUUGAUAGUCUUUCGCAACCUCAAUCAUUGGAUUGCUUUUUGCACAUUUUGCAAAGCACGGCAUGAACUUCAUCAUCUAUGCCAUGGAUGGAUGGAAAAGAUUCGUCAUGCUUUGAAAGAUGUACAAAAUAUGAUCCAAUGAUUGAGUUUGUGAAAGAAGAUCAAUCAUUCUUUCAUACGAAAGAUACAAUUCAAAACCCCGUGUCUUAUUAGUUCUCAAGCAAUUUAUGCCAUCGGCCGAUUAAGGUCUCCAAAAUUAUAUAGAUUGUUUUCGUGAUCGAACUA
Long non-coding RNA from Elaeis guineensis (African oil palm), 943 nucleotides. RefSeq lists it as uncharacterized. NCBI's taxonomy places the organism in Eukaryota, Viridiplantae, Streptophyta, Magnoliopsida, Arecales, Arecaceae. The record is from RefSeq and is a predicted model, not a curated record.